RNAcentral lists this ribosomal RNA (472 nucleotides) under uncultured bacterium. RNAcentral describes it as "bacterial SSU rRNA". It matches the Rfam family "Bacterial small subunit ribosomal RNA", at positions 355 to 825 of the family's 1533-position model. The record is from RNAcentral.
UCGGGAAUUUUGGGCAAUGGGGGCAACCCUGAUCCAGCAAUGCCGCGUGAGUGAAGAAGGCCUUCGGGUUGUAAAGCUCUUUUGUCAGGGAAGAAACGGUAGUAGCGAAUAACUAUUACUAAUGACGGUACCUGAAGAAUAAGCACCGGCUAACUACGUGCCAGCAGCCGCGGUAAUACGUAGGGUGCAAGCGUUAAUCGGAAUUACUGGGCGUAAAGCGUGCGCAGGCGGUUGUGUAAGUCAGAUGUGAAAUCCCCGGGCUCAACCUGGGAAUUGCAUUUGAGACUGCACGGCUAGAGUGUGUCAGAGGGGGGUAGAAUUCCACGUGUAGCAGUGAAAUGCGUAGAUAUGUGGAGGAAUACCGAUGGCGAAGGCAGCCCCCUGGGAUAACACUGACGCUCAUGCACGAAAGCGUGGGGAGCAAACAGGAUUAGAUACCCAAGUAGUCCCUGAGCGGGCUGGCAAGGCGCAU